RNAcentral lists this transfer RNA (77 nucleotides) under Alphaproteobacteria bacterium. RNAcentral describes it as "tRNA-Arg". It matches the Rfam family "tRNA". From Rfam's summary of the family: Transfer RNA (tRNA) molecules are approximately 80 nucleotides in length. The record is from RNAcentral. Lineage: Bacteria; Pseudomonadati; Pseudomonadota; Alphaproteobacteria. RNAcentral also lists the same sequence under 1 other name.
GCGCCCGUAGCUCAGCUGGAUAGAGCAUUGGUUUCCGAAGCCAAGGGUCACAGGUUCAAGUCCUGUCGGGCGCACCA